This 159-nucleotide small nuclear RNA is filed under the name Carlito syrichta (Philippine tarsier). RNAcentral's name for it is "U1 spliceosomal RNA (ENSTSYG00000031452.1)". It matches the Rfam family "U1 spliceosomal RNA". From Rfam's summary of the family: U1 is a small nuclear RNA (snRNA) component of the spliceosome (involved in pre-mRNA splicing). Its 5' end forms complementary base pairs with the 5' splice junction, thus defining the 5' donor site of an intron. There are significant differences in sequence and secondary structure between metazoan and yeast U1 snRNAs, the latter being much longer (568 nucleotides as compared to 164 nucleotides in human). The record is from Rfam by way of RNAcentral. Lineage: Eukaryota; Metazoa; Chordata; Mammalia; Primates; Tarsiidae.
AUACCUGGCAGGGGAGAUGCCAUGAUCACGAAGUUGUUUUCCCAGGGUGAGGCCUAUCCAUUGUACUCCAGAUGUGCUGACCUUUGUGAUUUCCCCAAAUGUGAGAAACUCAACUGCCUAAUUUGCGGUAGUGGGGGACUGCGUUUGUGCUCUCCCUUG